RNAcentral lists this ribosomal RNA (379 nucleotides) under uncultured cyanobacterium. Its description in RNAcentral is "bacterial SSU rRNA". It matches the Rfam family "Bacterial small subunit ribosomal RNA", at positions 376 to 770 of the family's 1533-position model. Lineage: Bacteria; Bacillati; Cyanobacteriota. The record is from RNAcentral.
GGCAACCCUGACGGAGCAACGCCGCGUGGGGGAGGAAGGUCUGUGGAUUGUAAACCCCUUUUCUCUGUGAAGAAGAUCUGACGGUAGCAGAGGAAUCAGCAUCGGCUAACUCCGUGCCAGCAGCCGCGGUAAGACGGAGGAUGCAAGCGUUAUCCGGAAUUAUUGGGCGUAAAGCGUCCGCAGGCGGCUAGACAAGUCUGCUGUCAAAUCCCAGGGCUCAACUCUGGAUCGGCAGUGGAAACUGUUUAGCUUGAGUACGGUAGGGGUAGAGGGAAUUCCUGGUGUAGCGGUGAAAUGCGUAGAUAUUGGGAAGAACACCAGUGGCGAAGGCGCUCUGCUGGGCCAUAACUGACGCUGAGGGACGAAAGCUAGGGGAGCG